RNAcentral lists this transfer RNA (78 nucleotides) under Acidobacteriota bacterium. RNAcentral describes it as "tRNA-Arg". It matches the Rfam family "tRNA". From Rfam's summary of the family: Transfer RNA (tRNA) molecules are approximately 80 nucleotides in length. Their secondary structure includes four short double-helical elements and three loops (D, anti-codon, and T loops). The record is from RNAcentral. Lineage: Bacteria; Pseudomonadati; Acidobacteriota.
GGACCCGUAGCUCAGCGGAAUUAGAGCGCGACCCCGCGGAGGUCGAGGCCGCUGGUUCAAAUCCAGCCGGGUUCACCA